Microtus ochrogaster (prairie vole) is the source of this 104-nucleotide small nuclear RNA. NCBI's taxonomy places the organism in Eukaryota, Metazoa, Chordata, Mammalia, Rodentia, Cricetidae. The record is from Ensembl.
GUGCUCCCUUCAGCAGCACACAUAUUAAAAAUUAGAACAGCACAGAGAUCAGCAUGGCCCCUGUGCAAGGAUGACCACAAACUUACAAAGUAUUCUAUAUUUUU